GUGCUACUGAGGAGUCCCAUAAUAGGACGAAACGGCUGUUCAGUGC
This is a non-coding RNA of Schistosoma rodhaini, 46 nucleotides long. The record is from Rfam. Lineage: Eukaryota; Metazoa; Platyhelminthes; Trematoda; Strigeidida; Schistosomatidae.